Molecule: ribosomal RNA, 411 nt
Filed under: uncultured Chloroflexota bacterium
Lineage: Bacteria; Bacillati; Chloroflexota
Description: bacterial SSU rRNA
Rfam family: Bacterial small subunit ribosomal RNA
Source: RNAcentral
AACGCGAAGAACCUUACCAGGGUUUGACAUGCAGCUGCACCACCCGUUAUGGGGUGUCCCUUCGGGGCGGUUGCACAGGUGCUGCAUGGCUGUCGUCAGCUCGUGUCGUGAGAUGUUGGGUUCAGUCCCGCAACGAGCGCAACCCCUGCCGCUAGUUGAAUAGUCUAGCGGGACCGCCGCGAUCAACGCGGAGGAAGGCGGGGAUGACGUCAAGUCAGCACGGCCCUUACACCCUGGGCUACACACACGCUACAAUGGUCGGUACAACGGGCUGCCAACCCGCAAGGGGGAGCCAAUCCCAUCAAAACCGGCCUCAGUUCAGAUUGCAGGCUGCAACUCGCCUGCAUGAAGGAGGAGUUGCUAGUAACCGUGGGUCAGCACACUACGGUGAAUACGUUCCCGGGCCUUGUA